CAUGGGCAGGUUGAAGCGUCGGUAAGACGACGUGGAGGACCGAACCCACUUAGGUUGAAAACUGAGGGGAUGAGUUGUGGGUAGGGGUGAAAGGCCAAUCAAACUCCGUGAUAGCUGGUUCUCCCCGAAAUGCAUUUAGGUGCAGCGUCGCAUGUGUGCUUGUUGGAGGUAGAGCUACUGGUUGGUUGAGCGGGACUAUCACUUAGCGACGUCAGCCAAACUC
RNAcentral lists this ribosomal RNA (223 nucleotides) under Chaetoceros curvisetus. Its description in RNAcentral is "partial Bacterial large subunit ribosomal RNA". It matches the Rfam family "Bacterial large subunit ribosomal RNA", at positions 735 to 956 of the family's 2925-position model. Lineage: Eukaryota; Bacillariophyta; Thalassiosirophyceae; Chaetocerotales; Chaetocerotaceae. The record is from RNAcentral.